RNAcentral lists this ribosomal RNA (912 nucleotides) under Vibrio furnissii. Its description in RNAcentral is "bacterial SSU rRNA". It matches the Rfam family "Bacterial small subunit ribosomal RNA", at positions 535 to 1472 of the family's 1533-position model. Lineage: Bacteria; Pseudomonadati; Pseudomonadota; Gammaproteobacteria; Vibrionales; Vibrionaceae. The record is from RNAcentral.
UCGGCAAGACCCGGUAUCAGGGUUGCGACCUAUCGAUUCGCUAGCCAUCAGUUUUGUAAUCAAUGAGCCCGUCCAACCUUGGAAUGCAAUGGACUGCCAGCCUAGAUACCGGAGGGGGGUGAAUUCAGGUGUAGCGUGAUGUAGGAUUCGAAGAAUCGUGGGGAUGCGGCUCCUUGACAGAUACUGACAUCAGAUGGGAAAGCGUGGGGAGCAAACAGGAUUAGAUACCUUGUAGUCACGCCGUAAACGAUGUCUACUUGGAGGUUGUGGCCUUGAGCCGUGGCUUUCGAAGCUAACGCGUUAAGUAGACCGCUGGGGAGUACGGUCGCAAGAUUAAAACUCAAAUGAAUUGACGGGGGCCCGCACAAGCGGUGGAGCAUGUGGUUUAAUUCGAUGCAACGCGAAGAACCUUUACCUACUCUUGACAUCCAGAGAACUUAGCAGAGAUGCUUUGGUGCCUUCGGGAACUCUGAGACAGGUGCUGCAUGGCUGUCGUCAGCUCGUGUUGUGAAAUGUUGGGUUAAGUCCCGCAACGAGCGCAACCCUUAUCCUUGUUUGCCAGCGAGUAAUGUCGGGAACUCCAGGGAGACUGCCGGUGAUAAACCGGAGGAAGGUGGGGACGACGUCAAGUCAUCAUGGCCCUUACGAGUAGGGCUACACACGUGCUACAAUGGCGCAUACAGAGGGCGGCCAACUUGCGAAAGUGAGCGAAUCCCAAAAAGUGCGUCGUAGUCCGGAUUGGAGUCUGCAACUCGACUCCAUGAAGUCGGAAUCGCUAGUAAUCGUGGAUCAGAAUGCCACGGUGAAUACGUUCCCGGGCCUUGUACACACCGCCCGUCACACCAUGGGAGGUGGGCUGCAAAAGAAGCAGGUAGUUUAACCUUGCGGAGGACGCUGCCAUGAGUCUGACCA